RNAcentral lists this ribosomal RNA (476 nucleotides) under uncultured eukaryote. Its description in RNAcentral is "eukaryotic LSU rRNA". It matches the Rfam family "Eukaryotic large subunit ribosomal RNA", at positions 700 to 1177 of the family's 3401-position model. The record is from RNAcentral.
CGAGAGGCCCAUCCGCGCAACGAAGCGAAUGGCGGGACGCUCUCCCGCAGGGGGGCGGCGCCGCCGGCCGGACGUCCUCGAGGCGGACCGAGCCGGAGCGCUCGCGUCGGGACCCGAAAGGUGGUGAUCUAUCCGUGCGCGCGGCGAAGCCGGGGGAAACCCCGGUGGAGGCCCGUCGACGGUACUGACGUGCAAAUCGUUCGUCCGACGUGCGAAUAGGGGCGAAAGACCAAUCGAACCUCCUAGUAGCUGGUUUCCGCCGAAAUUUCCCUCAGGAUAGCGGCCAUCGCGGAAACGUUUUGACCGGUAGAGCGAACGACUAGAGGUACCGGGGCCGUAACGGCCUCGACCUAUUCUCGAACUCCGAACGGGCAAGGAGCCGGGGUCGCCCGAUCGGACCCCGGACGUGAAGUCGACGAUGGUCGGUGGGCUGGUUUGGUAAGCAGAACGGGCGAUUCGGGAUGAACCGGAAGCGG